Molecule: ribosomal RNA, 301 nt
Filed under: uncultured bacterium
Lineage: Bacteria
Description: partial 16S ribosomal RNA
Rfam family: Bacterial small subunit ribosomal RNA
Source: RNAcentral
CAGCAGCCGCGGGAAUACGAAGGGUGCAAGCGUUACUCGGAAUUACUGGGCGUAAAGCGUGCGUAGGUGGUGGUUUAAGUCCGUUGUGAAAGCUCUGGGCUCAACCUGGGAAUUGCAGUGGAUACUGGGUCACUAGAGUGUGGUAGAGGAUAGUGGAAUUUCCGGUGUAGCAGUGAAAUGCGUAGAGAUCGGAAGGAACAUCUGUGGCGAAGGCGGCUAUCUGGGCCAACACUGACACUGAGGCACGAAAGCGUGGGGAGCAAACAGGAUUAGAUACCCGCGUAGUCCCUGUCUCUUAUAC